AUAUAGUAGUCUAGGCCUAGAUCAAUUAGGACAAAGCCUUCUUUCAACUUCCAUAGAUCUGUUAGUUUUGUUCUCAGAUACUGGUGAUGGAAUUUCUUGCUCGCCGCUUUGAUAAUUAUUGAAUGUUGCCAGGAGGCAUAGAGUCUUUGUUUGUCUUCAAGUAAGAGAAGAAUCACUUCUUCUUUCCCAGAAUUUUGGAUUUCUGGUUGUUCCUCGAGUACUCCGCUUUGUUGAUAGUUAGUGGAUAUGUUGGUUUUAUCCCUUAGGAUAUCACUGUAGGAAGGCUUGGAUGGGGUAUCCACAACUAUUUGAUUACUUGGUCCAUCGGGCUAUUCCGUUGGUUCAAAGCGUAUGACUUGUUUGUUUUAUGAUGGGGGGUCAUGGCACCAUUCAGAACGUGGAUGAUGAUGAAUAAGGGAUUGCAUUUUAGAGAGUGGGAAGUCUUUCUCUCUCUGUAUGUAUCGGUUCAACCUUUUUGAUAUGCUAUACCUUUGAUUUUUUUUCGUUUUACAUGAAUAGAACUCACUGUCCUGGAGUCUCGUGCACAUAACGGGAGUUUUAGUGUUUCAAAUCAUUUUUUUUCCCUUUACAUGAGCAGCAACUCAACUGAUCUGCAAAUAUUAAAGUGCAGAGAUUAUCGUCAUUAUGGUGAGAUCCAAUGUCCUUUUUUUCCUUAAUAGUUAUUACACAUCUAAUUCGAUACGUUGGGUAUAUAAAGUCCCAAGAAUUAAUAAUUUGUGUAAUAAUCUAGCCCCAGAGCUUGGCGGAAGCUAUAAGUGCUUUUUAACCAAAUUUAAUAGUAAAAAAAUU
This 810-nucleotide long non-coding RNA is filed under the name Capsicum annuum. Its description in RNAcentral is "long non-coding RNA (CANN_LNC011170)". The record is from RNAcentral. Lineage: Eukaryota; Viridiplantae; Streptophyta; Magnoliopsida; Solanales; Solanaceae.